This is a long non-coding RNA of Hemicordylus capensis (graceful crag lizard), 335 nucleotides long. RefSeq lists it as uncharacterized. Lineage: Eukaryota; Metazoa; Chordata; Lepidosauria; Squamata; Cordylidae. The record is from RefSeq and is a predicted model, not a curated record. The transcript is spliced from 2 exons.
UAACAGUUUAACUUGGCCUCCUCUGGGGAUCUGCUGAGUGUACCAAGACUGUCAGGACAGGAGGACGUUAGCUCCAUGUGAACUCUAGGCCCAAGGAGGUCUCCAAUCCAUGCACUACCCAGACCCAGAUCUGCUUAGCUUCAGCAAGGUGGUUGCAUCAUAGUUCUGGAUCAAGCAAUACUGAAGGACUUGUCUGAUCUAUAUGUUUUGUCCUUGAACUUUAAGCUCUCCCUCCCUCUUUCUUUUUUUCUGUCCUAACUUAUGAUCUGUACACAGUCUCUGUUCCAACUUUUAGCACCUUAACAUGUAAUUGAAUAAAGUUAUGUCCUGCUUGA